UACGUAGGGUCCGAGCGUUGUCCGGAAUUACUGGGCGUAAAGAGCUCGUAGGUGGUUUGUCGCGUUGUUCGUGAAAACUCACAGCUCAACUGUGGGCGUGCGGGCGAUACGGGCAGACUUGAGUACUGCAGGGGAGACUGGAAUUCCUGGUGUAGCGGUGGAAUGCGCAGAUAUCAGGAGGAACACCGGUGGCGAAGGCGGGUCUCUGGGCCGAUACUGACGCUCAUGUGCGAAAGCGUGGGGAGCAAACAGG
RNAcentral lists this ribosomal RNA (253 nucleotides) under uncultured bacterium. Its description in RNAcentral is "partial 16S ribosomal RNA". It matches the Rfam family "Bacterial small subunit ribosomal RNA", at positions 524 to 776 of the family's 1533-position model. The record is from RNAcentral.